UUUGCUUCUGACUUGUAGCCCAGAAUAAACACCUAGAGGUUUUUGGGUUCCUGAAACAUCUUCAAAACCUCCUAGAAAGGAUAUAUUCCUUUUUCUGAGGCUAUUUUUUUUCUUUUUCCUAGCAAAUAUUCUUUAACCUAUAUUUACAUUUGGGUACAUUUAACCUACAUUUAGAGAAAGACAUACCCACCUGCAUUUUAAUGAUCCGUUUAAAUACAGUUUGUUUUCUUGUUGUUGUUGUUUUGUUUUGUUUUGAGACAGAGUUUUUCUCUUUUUGCCCAGGCUGGUGUGAAAUGGCACAAUUCUGGCUCACCACAAUCUCCACCUCCCAGGUUCAUGUGAUUCUCCUGCUUCAGCUUCCUGGGUAGCUAGGAUCACAGGUGCCUGCUACCAUGCCCAGAGUCUCACUCUGUCACCUAGCCUGGAGUGCAGUGGACAAUCUUGGCCCAGUGCAACCUCUGUCUCCUGGUUUCAGGCAAUUCUCCUGCCUCAACCUCCCGAGAAGCUGGAACUACAGGCACCCACCACCAUACUCAGGUAAUUUUUGUAUUUUUAGUAGAGAUGUGGUUUCACCACGUUGACCAUGCUGGUCUUGAACUCCUGACCUCAUGAUCUGACCACUUUGGCCUCCCAAAGUGCUGGGAUUACAGGCAUGAGCCACCAUGCCGGGCUGUGCUUGGCCAUUUUGUAUGUGUAAUUGCUGUCUUCUAACUGCUGGUAGAGUUUGUAUUUGUUGAGGUUUGUGUAAAUACAUGUAGCCAUGCCUACAUGUAUACAUUUGCUUGCAUGCCUGAUGGUAAGUGGGCUUUCUGUGUGUCUGUGUUUGUCUCCUUAUUAAUGUGAUUAUCCAUUUCAUUCCAUGCUCACUAUUUACUACUUCCUCAGAAUUCCAGCUUUUUUGUUUGUUUCUUUGUUUGUUUCUCUUCCUAUCACCUAUUUCCCCAAUACAGGGUUCAUAUAACCCUUUUCAAUGAUGUAAGCCUUUCUUGGACUAAAUUGCUAUUUGAGAAUUUAGUUUUUCCUCUUUUUUUCUUCCUCCUAGUUUGUUCCUCUGUAUCUUAUAAAAAUGUCCAUACUAUUGUGAGUCAAAAACAUAUUUUCCUUAUUUGUGGGAGGAGAAGAGCAAAGAGAAAUCAUUGGUAUUUCAUUGAAAGGAAGUACAAGUCAAAGAGAUAUAUGAAUGUUAUCUUUGAUAUAGUGAUUUAAAAGUUUAUGAAGAAUAAAUAUAUAAAUUUUUAAACCAGAAUUUAUUUAUUUUUCUUCUCUGUGUAAGGUACGGGUCUGGGUAAUAUUUAAAGUGGUAAUAAUGUUCAGUUCUUCACAUUUGGCUGGAAGUUGUGCUAAAAGAAGAAAAUAUGAAUAUAAGUUAUUUAGUCAUCUGAUAAAUAGGUAUAUCUCAAAAGGCAGUUACAGUGGAAAGAAUAUAGGACUUGGAGAAUAAGUAUCUGCAUUGAAACCCCAGGCCUUCACAUACUGGCUUCUCUACACAGAAUCUUUAUUUUAGAAUGCAGAUUGGAUUGUAUUAUGUUUCCUUGUCUUUUAAAGGCUUCUGAUUGCCCUUAGGAUAAAGAAAACAAUUUUUAACACUGCUUAUAGUUCCUGCAUGAUCCAGCUCCAUCUUUCAGUGCUGACCCACAUGUACUGUGAGUACUGAAACACGUGUACAUGCAUCAUGGCUAUGACCAUGCCCCAGCCACUACAGCCAUAGUUCAUUGAGUAGACAAUGCUCCUUCUCACUGGACCAUUGCUCCGUUGUUCUCUCUGAAGCACUCCUUUCCUUGCCUUUUAAACUUCCACUACUCCCACUUGGAACAGAUUAGUUUUUACAGGUUAUCAUGAAACAUGUUGCUUUCCUUUGGAUCACUUAUCUCCAUUUUUAGUUGAAUAUUAUUUUGUGUCAUCAAUGUUGCCACCUCAACUGGACUGUUAACUCCCUAAGAGUGGGAACUACAUCUGUGUCCCUGAUGUAGUUCCCAGUAGCUCCUGUGCCUAUCUCUGUUUCUGACACACAUGGCUUUUUAAAAAAUUUAAUCACUUGAAAAAUCAUUGAACUGCUCAGAAACAAAAUGUUGCCAGUUAUAAAAUGGGGAUAAGAAAUUACUUGUUAGAUUAACUGAAUGUGCAUAAAAACUUUGCAGAAUGCUCUAAAAUAUAGGGUAGGAUAAUAAUUAUAAUAAUAACCAAGAGGAAUUGCUGCUCUAAUUAAUUUGGUCAAUAGAGAAAAACUAGUCAGUGAUAAGUGUGUGCAGAUAACUUUAAAAUAAAUAAUUGUCUAAUGCAUAAAUAAGAGCAAAAUAUGUCUAUAUUUAGAUAUCUUCAGGUAAUUUAAAAGAAAAUAAAAUCAGACUGGGCGUGGUGGCUCACGCCAGUAAUCCCAGCACUUUGGGAGGCCGAGGUGGGUGGAUCACGAGGUCAAGAGAUCGAGACCAUCCUGGUCAACAUGGUGAAACCCCGUCUCUACUAAAAAUACGAAAAAUUAGCUGGGCAUGAUGGCGCAUGCCUGUAGUUCCAACUACUUGGGAGGCUGAGGCAGGAGAAUUGCCUGAACCCAGGAGGCGGAGGUUGCAGUGAGCUGAGAUCCCGCCAUUUAACUCCAGCCUGGGUAACAAGAGCGAAACUCCGUCUCAAAAAAAGAAAAGAAAAGAAAAGAAAAAAUCAAACAAAAUGAAAGUUUCUUUCUCUGACAGUACCUCCAGCUUUAAUCUACAGUUGUAACCAUUUAAAAUUGCUUUUUGUUUUUAGCUUUUAUCUAGUUAUCAUGGGAUCUCUAAAUUUUAUGUUUUAAUUCCCACUUCUCGAUUUAUCAGUUUUAGACAGUAUCUACUAUCUUGCAGCUAUGAAAGAUGAGUUUAGAUCAUCACACUAAUUUCUAUAUUUCCAAUUUCUAUAUGCAAUUUUUAUUAUUUAUAUUAUGAUGAUUCUUCUAGUAUUACAUUUUUGACUUUAAGUAAUAUUUUAAACAUUUCUUGCUUCAUGUAAUUUAAGAGUAGCUACUUAUCUCACAUUGCAUAAGAGGAAAGUAGUGUACAUAUAUUUUUCCUUCAUUCUUCUUGCCCUUUACAUACAUUUCCUAAGUUCUGUCUGCUGUGCCACUGUUUGAUUCGGUCAGGUGAUGUUCUGUUUCAUUCUGUCAAGUCUUAUAUUAUCUUCUGUGUUUUCACCAAAGGUUGAUUUUAAAAACUAAAACAAAGCAACCUCAUAAACAUUAACAUUAUGUAACUGUGAUAAAUAUUAUAAAUAAACAACAUUAAAAACAAAUAAAUAUUAUUUCAAUCAAAGUACUGUAAAGGGACCCAUUGAAAAAGGUUGUACUCCUAAUUGAAACUCUGCCAAAAAAAAAAAAGAGAAAGUUCCAAGUUCUUAAUGCUCAAAAUUAUAUUUUAAUGUGCUCAAUAUGUGGUCUGUGAUUUUUUAUACAGCUUUUUGUUCUCAAAAGAGUUUCUAAUUGUUUCUUUGUUAUUACUGGCAACAAAAUACCCAUAAAAGUUUAGAAAUUAAUCAUACAGAUUGUAGAAUGUAACUGAUUUUCUCCUUAAGGAUUUCUUUUUUAUAGCAGCCACUGAUUUCUUGCUUUUAUUUGUACUGAUGGCACAGAGAUUUCAUUGCUUAAAUCCAAUGGAUCCAAGUGUGCUUCUCUUUCUUGACUUCCUUUUUGGUCUUUCAGGAACAUAAACUCAAGUAAUUUUAUUUAUUGAAGGAUGCUUGCAAGGAGGUAUUUCUUAAUCUCUGAGAUCUGAAAAUGCUGCUAAUUUAUCUUUAAAUUUGAUUUAUAUUUUGACUGGGUAUAAAAUUUCAGGCUUUAACUUAUUAUUCCCUGGAAAUAUCAAAUGUAUUGGUC
RNAcentral lists this long non-coding RNA (3838 nucleotides) under Callithrix jacchus (white-tufted-ear marmoset). RNAcentral describes it as "lncRNA (ENSCJAG00000079084.1)". Lineage: Eukaryota; Metazoa; Chordata; Mammalia; Primates; Cebidae. The record is from RNAcentral.